Molecule: long non-coding RNA, 730 nt
Filed under: Mytilus galloprovincialis (Mediterranean mussel)
Lineage: Eukaryota; Metazoa; Mollusca; Bivalvia; Mytilida; Mytilidae
Source: RNAcentral
UCAGGGCUGUAACUACAUUGAGGCAAAUGAGGCAAAUGCCUCAUGUUUUAAAUUUCCAAAAAAAUAGAAAAAAAAAAUUAAAACAAAAGAUUGUCUUCAUAUUAUAGUCUUCAUAUCAAAUUGUUUUCACUGAAAGUGUCUUGCAAGAAGCAAGUUCUCUUCACUCUCUGAUGUCGCCCCUGCAUAUUUUUCGUAAUCCAUGUUUCUAUUUUACUUUUGGUUUUCAGAGUUGAUGGUCUAUUGUUUGUAUUUCUGUGUCCCGGGUUUGUCUUUUCUUUAUUUAUUGUCCUACUUAAUGACUAGUCUGAGUGUUGAUUUUCAAUUGUAAACGUGUCACACUGUGUAAUGUUGCAUGUCCACCUAUGUCCAGGCAUUUUGCGAGAAAAUGUUUUAAGAAUAUACGAUGCUACUGGACACAGAAAAAAGUGGUCGUUUCUGCAUGGAGAAUUGAACUUGAUAUCAAAGAAUACGAAACUGCCUUUCUUGUAUAUAAAACCAUACCCAAUUUGUCUUAGUAUGGAUUGCAAAAUUAGGUAUUUUCUGUAGGUGAGAUAUGCACAGAAGUGAAAUAUCUAUACUAUUAAACGAGAAGACCUCAUUUUUGGUGUCGCUUCUCUUCUUUCCACAAUAAAUUAAUCAACACGCCUCUGUGUCCUAUAGGUACAGUGCAUAGUCGCAUUUGUCAUCCAUUCAUAUGAUUAUUCAGAUUGAGUUAUUUUAGGAGAAAAAC